GUGGGGAAUCUUAGACAAUGGGGGAAACCCUGAUCUAGCCAUGCCGCGUGAGCGAUGAAGGCCUUAGGGUUGUAAAGCUCUUUCAGAGGGGAAGAUAAUGACGGUACCCUCAGAAGAAGCCCCGGCUAACUCCGUGCCAGCAGCCGCGGUAAUACGGAGGGGGCUAGCGUUGUUCGGAAUUACUGGGCGUAAAGCGCACGUAGGCGGACCAGAAAGUCAGGGGUGAAAUCCCGGGGCUCAACCCCGGAACUGCCUUUGAAACUCCUGGUCUUGAGGUCGAGAGAGGUGAGUGGAAUUCCGAGUGUAGAGGUGAAAUUCGUAGAUAUUCGGAGGAACACCAGUGGCGAAGGCGGCUCACUGGCUCGAUACUGACGCUGAGGUGCGAAAGCGUGGGGAGCAAACAGGAUUAGAUACCCUAGUAGUCC
Molecule: ribosomal RNA, 425 nt
Filed under: uncultured bacterium
Lineage: Bacteria
Description: partial 16S ribosomal RNA
Rfam family: Bacterial small subunit ribosomal RNA
Source: RNAcentral